Molecule: ribosomal RNA, 470 nt
Filed under: uncultured bacterium
Lineage: Bacteria
Description: bacterial SSU rRNA
Rfam family: Bacterial small subunit ribosomal RNA
Source: RNAcentral
GACGAACGCUGGCGGCGUGCCUAACACAUGCAAGUCGAACGAGGUCCAUGCAGUGGCAACACUGCGGAAGACCUAGUGGCGAACGGGUGAGUAACACGUGAGGAACCUGCCCCGAAGACCGGGAUAACUCUCCGAAAGGAGCGCUAAUACCGGAUGCCCCCACCGAACCGCAUGGUUUGGUGAGGAAAUGGAUUCCGCUUCGGGAGGGCCUCGCGGCCUAUCAGCUAGUUGGUGGGGUAACGGCCCACCAAGGCAUCGACGGGUAGCUGGUCUGAGAGGACGAUCAGCCACACUGGGACUGAGACACGGCCCAGACUCCUACGGGAGGCAGCAGUGGGGAAUCUUGCGCAAUGGGCGAAAGCCUGACGCAGCAACGCCGCGUGGGGGAUGAAGGCUUUCGGGUUGUAAACCCCUUUCAGCAGGGACGAAUCAAGACGGUACCUGCAGAAGAAGCCCCGGCUAACUACGUG